CGGAAUUUGGCAAUGAGGAUAGGAGGCAGCUAAUAAAGCAGAACCUGGGUCUCGGCCGAAACGAAAAUCUUACCUGAAAACUUGGGGGAUGAGAGAGGCGGUGUAACCCCUUUUUGGGGGACGAGGCCUAAAACAUAACAGAUACGUAUUCCCUCCGCCUCUGUUGGGAAUAACUCAUGGAAGCUAAAUGGCGUUAAGGCGUCCAAACGGGCGCAAACGCCCUCGUCUGGCCCUGGAGUUGGCCCCGAUGAUUCAGAUGGCCCCGGAGCAGAAGACCGGCCACCGACCGAGCUUUCGAUGGCUUGCAAUCCAUGGCAAUUGCAGGGAAAAAAUCGCUGUAAAUUAAUCUCUCUGUAACGCAGUUGAAGCAUACAAGCGGCACGAGCGCCAGGAGGAGCAUAUCUAUGCCAUGGCGAGCCACGGGGCCCAUUGCAGCGGGCACCUGAGAUGCCAAACGAGCACGAGCACAUGCAAAACAGGGAGGCUCAUCCUCCGAAAACGGUUAAUACGAGCACCGGUAGGCAAAUAAGGCCCGACGCGCUCGAUGGGGCCGCGUCGAAAGCGAGCCGGCAACGCGCGGGAGCGGGCGAAAACACGGCGCAAAAGAACGCGUCCGAAGGAACAGGGCCAAGAUAGGGCCGCUUGGAAGGUAAACGACUCUAUAGGCAUUCUACAGGGAGCGCGCGCGCGCACGGCAGCAAUGUCGAGACCGGCCUACGCCAGGCAGUCGAACAAAGUUGUGGCUCACGCGCAAUGCCUGACCAAACCCUAAGAGAACACCGCGCAUGCGCGUCCACAACGACGAAAUAAUUACAGCCUCCGAUCGGUUACUGGUUGAUUGACAAGUUAGCAGAGUUCGUAUGGGAGUCUCCUACGGAGGCAGAGGUCCCGGCAUCGAGUCCAGCCAGAAGCGAAGAGUACUUACAGCGCCCGAUAAAUAGAAGAUAUUAAAAGAAACUACAACGAAGAAG
RNAcentral lists this long non-coding RNA (971 nucleotides) under Androctonus crassicauda. Lineage: Eukaryota; Metazoa; Arthropoda; Arachnida; Scorpiones; Buthidae. The record is from RNAcentral.